GACGAACGCUGGCGGCGUGCUUAACACAUGCAAGUCGAACGGAAAGGCCCUGCUUUUGUGGGGUGCUCGAGUGGCGAACGGGUGAGUAACACGUGAGUAACCUGCCCUUGACUUUGGGAUAACUUCAGUAAACUGGGGCUAAUACCGGAUAGGAGCUCCUGCUGCAUGGUGGGGGUUGGAAAGUUUCGGCGGUUGGGGAUGGACUCGCGGCUUAUGAGCUUGUUGGUGGGGUAGUGGCUUACCAGGGAUUUGACGGGUAGCCGGCCUGAGAGGGUGACCGGCCACAUUGGGACUGAGAUACGGCACAGACUACUACGGGAGGCAGCAGUGGGGAAGAAUGCACAAUGGGCGGAAGACUGAUGCAGCAACGCCGCGUGCGGGAUGACGGCCUUCGGGUUGUAAACCGCUUUCGCCUGUGACGAAGCGUGAGUGACGGUAAUGGGUAAAGAAGCACCGGCUAACUACGUG
This 468-nucleotide ribosomal RNA is filed under the name uncultured bacterium. RNAcentral describes it as "partial 16S ribosomal RNA". It matches the Rfam family "Bacterial small subunit ribosomal RNA", at positions 28 to 507 of the family's 1533-position model. The record is from RNAcentral.